RNAcentral lists this ribosomal RNA (497 nucleotides) under uncultured bacterium. RNAcentral describes it as "partial 16S ribosomal RNA". It matches the Rfam family "Bacterial small subunit ribosomal RNA", at positions 28 to 523 of the family's 1533-position model. The record is from RNAcentral.
GAUGAACGCUGGCGGCGUGCUUAACACAUGCAAGUCGAACGAAGCAUUUAGAACAGAUUAUUUCGGUAUGAAGUUCUUUAUGACUGAGUGGCGGACGGGUGAGUAACGCGUGGGUAACCUGCCUUGUACUGGGGGAUAGCAGCUGGAAACGGCUGGUAAUACCGCAUAAGCGCACGGUGCUGCAUGGCACAGUGUGAAAAACUCCGGUGGUAUAAGAAGGACCCGAGUCGGCUUAGCUAGGUGGUGAGAUAACAGCCCACCAAGGCGACGAGAAGUAGCCGACCUGCGAGGGUGCCCGGACACCUUGGGGCUGAGACACCGCCCAGACUCCUACGGGAGGCAGCAGGGGGGAAUAUUGCACAAUGGAGGGAACUAUGAUGCAGCUACGCCGCGUGAUUGAAGAAGUAAUUCUUUAUGUAAAGCUCUAUCAGCAGGGAAGAUAGUGACGGUACCUGACUAAGAAGCUCCGGCUAAAUACGUGCCAGCAGCCGCCGUAA